RNAcentral lists this ribosomal RNA (429 nucleotides) under Bacteroidota bacterium. Its description in RNAcentral is "Bacteroidetes bacterium partial 16S ribosomal RNA". It matches the Rfam family "Bacterial small subunit ribosomal RNA", at positions 355 to 776 of the family's 1533-position model. Lineage: Bacteria; Pseudomonadati; Bacteroidota. The record is from RNAcentral.
UAGGGAAUCUUCCGCAAUGGACGCAAGUCUGACGGAGCAACGCCGCGUGAGUGAAGAAGGAUUUCGGUUCGUAAAACUCUGUUGUUAGAGAAGAACAGCGCAUAGAGUAACUGUUAUGCGUGUGACGGUAUCUAACCAGAAAGCCACGGCUAACUACGUGCCAGCAGCCGCGGUAAUACGUAGGUGGCAAGCGUUGUCCGGAUUUAUUGGGCGUAAAGCGAGCGCAGGCGGUCAAUUAAGUCUGAUGUGAAAGCCCCCGGCUCAACCGGGGAGGGUCAUUGGAAACUGUGUAACUUGAGUGCAGAAGGGGAGAGUGGAAUUCCAUGUGUAGCGGUGAAAUGCGUAGAUAUAUGGAGGAACACCGGUGGCGAAAGCGGCUCUCUGGUCUGUAACUGACGCUGAGGCUCGAAAGCGUGGGGAGCGAACAGG